This 79-nucleotide transfer RNA is filed under the name Streptomyces fructofermentans. RNAcentral's name for it is "tRNA-Ser". Lineage: Bacteria; Bacillati; Actinomycetota; Actinomycetes; Kitasatosporales; Streptomycetaceae. The record is from RNAcentral.
GACGCCUGGUACGGGGGUGCUGCGGCGUUCGAGGCGCCGGGUGCCGGGCGCACGGGCGGUUCGAUGCAGGCGGCCGUCG